CAGUAGCCACGGGAAGACAGAGGAUGCAAGCGUUAUCCGGAAUGAUUGGGCGUAAAGCGUCUGUAGGUGGCUUUUCAAGUCCGCCGUCAAAUCCCAGGGCUCAACCCUGGACAGGCGGUGGAAACUACCACGCUGGAGUACGGUAGGGGCAGAGGGAAUUUCCGGUGGAGCGGUGAAAUGCGUUGAGAUCGGAAAGAACACCAACGGCGAAGGCACUCUGCUGGGCCGACACUGACACUGAGAGACGAAAGCUAGGGGAGCAAAUGGGAUUAGAUACCCGGGUAGUCCCUGUCUCUUAUAC
Molecule: ribosomal RNA, 301 nt
Filed under: uncultured bacterium
Lineage: Bacteria
Description: partial 16S ribosomal RNA
Rfam family: Bacterial small subunit ribosomal RNA
Source: RNAcentral